This 464-nucleotide ribosomal RNA is filed under the name uncultured Klebsiella sp. Its description in RNAcentral is "bacterial SSU rRNA". It matches the Rfam family "Bacterial small subunit ribosomal RNA", at positions 338 to 795 of the family's 1533-position model. The record is from RNAcentral. Lineage: Bacteria; Pseudomonadati; Pseudomonadota; Gammaproteobacteria; Enterobacterales; Enterobacteriaceae.
CCUACGGGAGGCAGCAGUGGGGAAUAUUGCACAAUGGGCGCAAGCCUGAUGCAGCCAUGCCGCGUGUGUGAAGAAGGCCUUCGGGUUGUAAAGCACUUUCAGCGGGGAGGAAGGCGGUGAGGUUAAUAACCUCAUCGAUUGACGUUACCUGCAGAAGAAGCACCGGCUAACUCCGUGCCAGCAGCCGCGGUAAUACAGAGGGUGCAAGCGUUAAUCGGAAUUACUGGGCGUAAAGCGCACGCAGGCGGUCUGUCAAGUCGGAUGUGAAAUCCCCGGGCUCAACCUGGGAACUGCAUUCGAAACUGGCAGGCUAGAGUCUUGUAGAGGGGGGUAGAAUUCCAGGUGUAGCGGUGAAAUGCGUAGAGAUCUGGAGGAAUACCGGUGGCGAAGGCGGCCCCUGGACAAAGACUGACGCUCAGGUGCGAAAGCGUGGGGAGCAAACAGGAUUAGAUACCCCAGUAGUC